UCCUACGGGAGGCAGCAGUGGGGAAUAUUGCGCAAUGGGGGGAACCCUGACGCAGCCAUGCCGCGUGAAUGAAGAAGGCCUUCGGGUUGUAAAGUUCUUUCGGUAAUGAGGAAGGGAUGUUGUUAAAUAGAUAGCAUCAUUGACGUUAAUUACAGAAGAAGCACCGGCUAACUCCGUGCCAGCAGCCGCGGUAAUACGGAGGGUGCGAGCGUUAAUCGGAAUAACUGGGCGUAAAGGGCACGCAGGCGGACUUUUAAGUGAGAUGUGAAAUCCCCGAGCUUAACUUGGGAACUGCAUUUCAGACUGGGAGUCUAGAGUACUUUAGGGAGGGGUAGAAUUCCACGUGUAGCGGUGAAAUGCGUAGGGAUGUGGAGGAAUACCGAAGGCGAAGGCAGCCCCUUGGGAAUGUACUGACGCUCAUGUGCGAAAGCGUGGGGAGCAAACAGGAUUAGAUACCCUGGUAGUCC
Molecule: ribosomal RNA, 467 nt
Filed under: uncultured bacterium
Lineage: Bacteria
Description: bacterial SSU rRNA
Rfam family: Bacterial small subunit ribosomal RNA
Source: RNAcentral